UCGGGAAUCUUCUCUUCCA
Molecule: small nuclear RNA, 19 nt
Filed under: Arabidopsis thaliana (thale cress)
Lineage: Eukaryota; Viridiplantae; Streptophyta; Magnoliopsida; Brassicales; Brassicaceae
Description: snRNA_16320
Source: RNAcentral